RNAcentral lists this ribosomal RNA (408 nucleotides) under uncultured microorganism. RNAcentral's name for it is "bacterial SSU rRNA". It matches the Rfam family "Archaeal small subunit ribosomal RNA", at positions 330 to 745 of the family's 1478-position model. The record is from RNAcentral.
GCGCACCGGCGAGAAACCUCCGCAAUACACGAAAGUGUGACGGGCCAUCCCGAGUGCCGUCCGCUGAGGACGGCUUUCCCCAGUGUACAUAGCUGGGGAAUAAGGAGAGGGCAAGCCUGGUGUCAGCCGCCGCGGUAAUACCAGCUCUCCGAGUGGUGGGGACGCUUAUUGGGCCUAAAGCAUCCGUAGCCGGCUGGGCAAGUCCUCCGUUAAAUCCAACGAUUCAAUCGUUGGGCUGCGGGGGAUACUGUCCAGCUUGGGGGCGGGAGAGGCCGACGGUAUUCCCGGGGUAGGGUGAAAUCCUAUAAUCCCGGGAGGACCACCAGUGGCGAAGGCUGUCGGCUAGAACGCGCCCGACGGUGAGGGAUGAAAGCUGGGGGAGCGAACCGGAUUAGAUACCCGUGUAGU